UACAGAGAGGGCAAGCGUUGUCCGGAAUGACUGGGCGUAAAGCGCGCGCAGGCGGUUUUUUAAGUUGGAUGUGAAAUCCCCGGGCUUAACCUGGGAACUGCAUACGAUACUGGGAAACUGGAGGCCGAGAGAGGAAAGCGGAAUGACGAGUGUAGAGGUGAAAUUCGUAGAUAUUCGUCGGAACACCAGAGGCGAAGGCGGCUUUCUGGCUCGGACCUGACGCUGAGGCGCGAAAGCGUGGGGAGCAAACAGG
This 253-nucleotide ribosomal RNA is filed under the name uncultured organism. RNAcentral's name for it is "partial 16S ribosomal RNA". It matches the Rfam family "Bacterial small subunit ribosomal RNA", at positions 524 to 776 of the family's 1533-position model. The record is from RNAcentral.